RNAcentral lists this small nuclear RNA (107 nucleotides) under Salvator merianae (Argentine black and white tegu). The record is from RNAcentral. Lineage: Eukaryota; Metazoa; Chordata; Lepidosauria; Squamata; Teiidae.
AUGCUCACUUCAACAGCACAUAUACCAAAAUUAGAAUGAAACAGAAAAGAUUAGCAUGGCCUAUGCACAAGAAUGAUACACUAAUUCGUAAAGCGUUCCAUAUUUUU